CGGAGGAAGGUGGGGAUGACGUCAAAUCAUCAUGCCCAUUAUGACCUGGGCGACACACGUGCGACAAUGGGCGGUACAAAGGGUCGCGAACCCGCGAGGGGGAGCCAAUCCCAAAAAGCCGCCCUCAGUUCGGAUUGCAGGCUGCAACUCGCCUGCAUGAAGCCGGAAUCGCUAGUAAUCGCGGAUCAGCAUGCCGCGGUGAAUACGUUCCCGGGCCUUGCACACACCGCCCGU
Molecule: ribosomal RNA, 234 nt
Filed under: uncultured Chelatococcus sp.
Lineage: Bacteria; Pseudomonadati; Pseudomonadota; Alphaproteobacteria; Hyphomicrobiales; Chelatococcaceae
Description: partial 16S ribosomal RNA
Rfam family: Bacterial small subunit ribosomal RNA
Source: RNAcentral